GAUGAACGCUGGCGGCGUGCCUAACACAUGCAAGUCGAACGGAAAGACCUCUUUCGGGGGGUACUCGAGUGGGCAACGGGCGGGUGACACGCGAGUAAAUUGCCCUUGACUUUGGCAUAACUUAAGGAAACUGGGGCUAAUACCGAAUAGGAGCUCCUUCUACAUGGUGGGGGCAGGAGAGUUUCGGCGGUUGGCGGUGGACUCGCGGGGUAUCCGCUUGUUAGUGGAGUAGUGGCUUACCAAGGCUUUGCCGGGUAGCCGGACUGUGAGAGUGAGCGGCGACACUGGCACUUAGAGACGGCCGAGACUCGGACUGGAGGCAGCAGUGGGGAAGACUGCACAAUGGGUGGAAGGCUGAUGCAGAAGCGCUGCGUGCGGUAAGACGGUCUUCUUGUUGUAAACCAUUUUCGCUCGUGACGGAGCUUUGUGUGACGGUACUGGGUAAAGAAGCCCCGGCUAACUACGUG
Molecule: ribosomal RNA, 467 nt
Filed under: uncultured bacterium
Lineage: Bacteria
Description: partial 16S ribosomal RNA
Rfam family: Bacterial small subunit ribosomal RNA
Source: RNAcentral